This 25-nucleotide microRNA is filed under the name Canis lupus familiaris (dog). Its description in RNAcentral is "cfa-miR-8834b". Lineage: Eukaryota; Metazoa; Chordata; Mammalia; Carnivora; Canidae. The record is from miRBase by way of RNAcentral.
UGGAUGCUCAGUCAGCGGGGGUGCU